Molecule: ribosomal RNA, 427 nt
Filed under: uncultured bacterium
Lineage: Bacteria
Description: bacterial SSU rRNA
Rfam family: Bacterial small subunit ribosomal RNA
Source: RNAcentral
UGGGGAAUUUUGGACAAUGGGCGUAAGCCUGAUCCAGCCAUUCCGCGUGCAGGACGAAGGCCUUCGGGUUGUAAACUGCUUUUGUACGGAACGAAAAGGCUCUGGCUAAUACCUGGGGCUCAUGACGGUACCGUAAGAAUAAGCACCGGCUAACUACGUGCCAGCAGCCGCGGUAAUACGUAGGGUGCAAGCGUUAAUCGGAAUUACUGGGCGUAAAGCGUGCGCAGGCGGUUAUGUAAGACAGAGGUGAAAUCCCCGGGCUCAACCUUGGAACUGCCUUUGUGACUGCAUAGCUGGAGUACGGCAGAGGGGGAUGGAAGUCCGCGUGUAGCAGUGAAAUGCGUAGAUAUGCGGAGGAACACCGAUGGCGAAGGCAAUCCCCUGGGCCUGUACUGACGCUCAUGCACGAAAGCGUGGGGAGCAAACA